GACGAACGCUGGCGGCGUGCUUAACACAUGCAAGUCGAACGGUGAAAUCAGAUCUUGCUCUUCUGGAUCAGUUGCGAACUGGUAAGUAACACUUGAGUACCCUGCCCCAGACUCUGGAAUAAGCUCUUGAAACGUCGUCUCAUACCGGAUACGAUACAUAGCUUCAUGGCUACUGUCUGUAAAGUUAUUCGGUCUGUGAUGGACUCGCGGCCUAUCAGCUUGUUGGUGAGGUAACGUCUGACCAAGGCAACGACGGGUAGCCGGCCUGAGAGGGGGAUCGGCCACACUGGGGCUGAGACACGGCCGCGCCGACUCCGGGAGGAAGCAGUGGGGAAUAUUGCACAAUGGGCGAAAGAAUGAUGAAGCGACGCCGCGUGGGGGAUGACGGAGUUCGGGUUGUAAAAAUCUUUCAGUAGCGAAGAAGAGAAAGAGAGUAUAGCUGCAGAAGACGCCGGGGAUAACUAUG
RNAcentral lists this ribosomal RNA (466 nucleotides) under uncultured bacterium. RNAcentral's name for it is "partial 16S ribosomal RNA". It matches the Rfam family "Bacterial small subunit ribosomal RNA", at positions 28 to 505 of the family's 1533-position model. The record is from RNAcentral.